GAAAUUAUGUUGGAAUUUCAACUCUAGGGUAAAGCAUUACAAAUUUAUAAAUUACCCUGAAACAUUCUUUGUAAUGAAUAUGUGCAAAGAAAAUGAGUUGAUAUAGUAACCAAUAAUGAUGAUUGACAAGUUAGAGAUAAAGCUCUUCAGGUAUCAAUAUAAAGGGUAAAUUCAGACAUGUUUUGUACAUUUCAUACUGUAAAUUGAAAUUUUUGUGAUGUUUUUAUUAUUACAAAAAGAUACGACAGGUUUGUAAUUGCAAUUAUUUAAAC
This 272-nucleotide long non-coding RNA is filed under the name Mytilus galloprovincialis (Mediterranean mussel). Lineage: Eukaryota; Metazoa; Mollusca; Bivalvia; Mytilida; Mytilidae. The record is from RNAcentral.